Molecule: transfer RNA, 84 nt
Filed under: Parcubacteria group bacterium ADurb.Bin115
Lineage: Bacteria
Description: tRNA-Tyr
Rfam family: tRNA
About the family: Transfer RNA (tRNA) molecules are approximately 80 nucleotides in length. Their secondary structure includes four short double-helical elements and three loops (D, anti-codon, and T loops).
Source: RNAcentral
GGGUCGGUACCGAAGCGGUUAAACGGGACAGACUGUAAAUCUGUUGGCUCGCGCCUUCGCUGGUUCGAAUCCAGCCCGGCCCAC